This 482-nucleotide ribosomal RNA is filed under the name uncultured bacterium. Its description in RNAcentral is "partial 16S ribosomal RNA". It matches the Rfam family "Bacterial small subunit ribosomal RNA", at positions 30 to 507 of the family's 1533-position model. The record is from RNAcentral.
AUUGAACGCUGGCGGCAUGCCUUACACAUGCAAGUCGAACGGUAACGGGCCUUCGGGUGCCGACGAGUGGCGGACGGGUGAGUAAUACAUCGGAACGUGCCCGAUCGUGGGGGAUAACGAGGCGAAAGCUUUGCUAAUACCGCAUACGAUCUACGGAUUAAAGCAGGGGACCGCAAGGCCUUGCGCGGACGGAGCGGCCGAUGGCAGAUUAGGUAGUUGGUGGGAUAAAAGCUUACCAAGCCGACGAUCUGUAGCUGGUCUGAGAGGAUGAUCAGCCACACUGGGACUGAGACACGGCCCAGACUCCUACGGGAGGCAGCAGUGGGGAAUUUUGGACAAUGGGCGCAAGCCUGAUCCAGCCAUGCCGCGUGCAAGAUGAAGGCCUUCGGGUUGUAAACUGCUUUUGUACGGAACGAAAAGCCUUCUUUUAAUACAGGAGGGUCAUGACGGUACCGUAAGAAUAAGCACCGGCUAACUACGUG